GACGAACGCUGGCGGCGUGCUUAACACAUGCAAGUCGAACGGAAAGGCCCUGCUUCUGUUGGGUGUUCGAGUGGCGAACGGGUGAGUAACACGUGUGUAACCUGCCUUUUACUUUGGGAACACUUCUGGAAACUUGGGCUACUACCUCAUAUUAGCUCCUGCUGCACGGUGUGGGUUGGAAAGUUUCGGCGGGUGGUGAUGGACUCGCGGCUUAUCUGCUUGUUGGUGGGGUAGUGGCUUACCAAGGCUUUGACGGGUAGCGGGCCUGAGAGGGUGACCGGCGACAUUGCGACUAAGAUACGGCGCAGAAGCCUACGGGAGGCAGCAGUGGGGAAUAUUGCACAAUGGGCGCAAGCCUGAGGCAGCGACGCCGCGUGCGGGAUGACGGCCUUCGGGUUAUAAACCGCUUGCGCCUGUGACGAAGCGUGAGUGACGGUAAUGGGUGAAGAAGCACCGGCUAACUACGUG
This 468-nucleotide ribosomal RNA is filed under the name uncultured bacterium. RNAcentral describes it as "partial 16S ribosomal RNA". It matches the Rfam family "Bacterial small subunit ribosomal RNA", at positions 28 to 507 of the family's 1533-position model. The record is from RNAcentral.